UACAGAGGGUGCAAGCGUUGUUCGGAAUUACUGGGCGUAAAGGGUGAGUAGACGGUUAUGCAAGUCAGAUGUGAAAUCCCGGGGCUUACCUCCGGAACUGCAUUUGAAACUACAUGGCUUGAGUAUAGUAGAGGCUAGCGGAAUUCCCAGUGUAGAGGUGAAAUUCGUAGAUAUUGGGAGGAACACCAGUGGCGAAGGCGGCUAGCUGGGCUAUUACUGACGCUGAGGUGCGAAAGCGUGGGGAGCAAACAGG
This 253-nucleotide ribosomal RNA is filed under the name uncultured bacterium. RNAcentral's name for it is "partial 16S ribosomal RNA". It matches the Rfam family "Bacterial small subunit ribosomal RNA", at positions 524 to 776 of the family's 1533-position model. The record is from RNAcentral.